UUAUUGGGGGAAAAAUUAGUAUAAAAUAAAGAUAAUAAAAUUAAUUUUAAAUAAAAUAUUUUGGGGGGUUAAAGUAUUUUAUAAAGAAAAAAUUUUUUAAUUUAUAGUAAAUUAGUAUUGUGAAAGAAUUUUUAAAUAUGUGAAAUAAAAAUUUUUUUAAAAGUAAAUUUUAUUUAUUGUAUCUUGUGUAUCAGAGUUUAUUAAUAAAUUAUUUUAAAUAAAAUUUUCUCGAAUUUAAAAGAGUUAAUUAAUUAAUAAAUUUAUUGUAGCAAAAAUAUUUUUAAUAUUUAAUUAGAAAUGAAAUGUUAAUCGUUUUUAAAUAUAUCUAGUUUUUUUAGAAAAAAAUUUAAUUUUAAAUUAAUUUAAUUAAAAAUUUAAUUAAUAAAAUUUUUAAAAAUUAACUUUAAUAUUUUAAGGGAUAAGCUUUAAUUUAAAUUUUUAUAAUAAAAAUUAAUUUUAUAUGAAAAUUUUAAAAUUUAUAUUGUUUAAAAAUUAUAAUUUUUUAUAAAUAAUUUCAAAAAAAAAUAAAAUUUAAAUAAAAUUUAAUUUUUUAUAAAAAAAUAAAAUUUAAUAAAUUAAUUUUAUAUAUAAUGAUAAAAUUAGUAUAAAUAAUUUAAUAAAAAAAAUUUUUUAUUUAAAAAUUAAUAAUAAGGAAUUCGGCAAAUAUUUAUAUUCACUUGUUUAUCAAAAACAUGUCUUUUUGAUUAAUAAUUUAAAGUCUAAUCUGCCCACUGAUAUAAUUAAAGGGCUGCAGUAAUUUGACUGUACAAAGGUAGCAUAAUCAUUAGUCUCUUAAUUGGUGACUUGUAUGAAAGAUUGGAUGAAAUAUAUACUGUCUUAUUGUUAUAUUUAGAAUUUAAUUUUUUAAUAAAAAAGUUAAAAUAAAUUUAAAAGACGAGAAGACCCUAUAGAGUUUUAUAUAAAAAAUAAUUAAUAAUUUUUUUUUUAUAAAUUUUAAAUUUAAAUUAUUUUUUAUAUUUUAUUGGGGUGAUAGAAAAAUAGAAAUAACUUUUUUUAUUAUAAUAUAUAUAUAUAUAUAUAUAUAUAUAUAUAUACAUAAAUAAAUGAAAUGAUGAUCCAAAAAUUUUUGAUUAUAAGAUUAAAUUACCUUAGGGAUAACAGCGUAAUUUUUUUUUUUAGUUCGAAUAAAAAAAAAAGUUUGCGACCUCGAUGUUGGAUUAAGAUAAAAUUUAAAAGCAAAAUUUUAAAAUUUUGAUCUGUUCGAUCAUUAAAAUCUUACAUGAUCUGAGUUCAAACCGGUGUAAGCCAGGUUGGUUUCCAUCUUUAAAAAUUUAAAAUAUUUUAGUACGAAAGGAUUAAAUAUUUAAAAUAAUUUUAAUUAUUUGAAUAUUAAUAAUAUAUGCAUUUAAAAUUUUAAGUUAAUAUAGGUAUAUAUAUAUAUAUAUAUAUAUAUAUAGUUA
Molecule: ribosomal RNA, 1421 nt
Filed under: Acleris fimbriana (yellow tortrix)
Lineage: Eukaryota; Metazoa; Arthropoda; Insecta; Lepidoptera; Tortricidae
Description: 16S
Source: RNAcentral